GUCUACAACCAUGCCAUCCCGAACAAGCCCGAUCCUAUCUGAUCUCGGAAUCUUGGAAGCUAAGCAGGAUUGGGCCUGGUUAGUGCUUAGAUGGGAGACCACCUAGGAAGACCAGCUGCUAUAGGCA
Ribosomal RNA from Pteropus vampyrus (large flying fox), 127 nucleotides. The record is from Ensembl. NCBI's taxonomy places the organism in Eukaryota, Metazoa, Chordata, Mammalia, Chiroptera, Pteropodidae.